UGGGGAAUUUUGCACAAUGGGGGAAACCCUGAUGCAGCGACGCCGCGUGAUUUAGAAGGCCUUCGGGUUGUAAAAAUCUUUUCUAUGGGAAGAAAAUGACAGUACCAUAGGAAUAAGGACCGGCUAAUUACGUGCCAGCAGCCGCGGUAAUACGUAAGGUCCGAGCGUUGUCCGGAAUCAUUGGGCGUAAAGGGUACGUAGGCGGGUAAGCAAGUUAGAAGUGAAAUCCUAUAGCUCAACUAUAGUAAGCUUUUAAAACUGCUCAUCUUGAGGUAUGGAAGGGAAAGUGGAAUUCCUAGUGUAGCGGUGAAAUGCGCAGAUAUUAGGAGGAAUACCGGUGGCGAAGGCGACUUUCUGGCCAUAACCUGACGCUGAGGUACGAAAGCGUGGGGAGCGAACAGG
RNAcentral lists this ribosomal RNA (402 nucleotides) under Bacteroidota bacterium. RNAcentral's name for it is "Bacteroidetes bacterium partial 16S ribosomal RNA". It matches the Rfam family "Bacterial small subunit ribosomal RNA", at positions 355 to 776 of the family's 1533-position model. The record is from RNAcentral. Lineage: Bacteria; Pseudomonadati; Bacteroidota. RNAcentral also lists the same sequence under 1 other name.